RNAcentral lists this non-coding RNA (78 nucleotides) under Pseudomonas sp. 29. The record is from RNAcentral. Lineage: Bacteria; Pseudomonadati; Pseudomonadota; Gammaproteobacteria; Pseudomonadales; Pseudomonadaceae.
AGUGAGCCUGCUCGCGAUAGCGGUGUGUCAGGUACCGAUGCUGCUGAAUGUGCUACCGCUAUCGCGAGCAGGCUCACU